Molecule: ribosomal RNA, 969 nt
Filed under: Vibrio harveyi 1DA3
Lineage: Bacteria; Pseudomonadati; Pseudomonadota; Gammaproteobacteria; Vibrionales; Vibrionaceae
Description: bacterial SSU rRNA
Rfam family: Bacterial small subunit ribosomal RNA
Source: RNAcentral
UACUGGGCGUAAAGCGCAUGCAGGUGGUUUGUUAAGUCAGAUGUGAAAGCCCGGGGCUCAACCUCGGAAUAGCAUUUGAAACUGGCAGACUAGAGUACUGUAGAGGGGGGUAGAAUUUCAGGUGUAGCGGUGAAAUGCGUAGAGAUCUGAAGGAAUACCGGUGGCGAAGGCGGCCCCCUGGACAGAUACUGACACUCAGAUGCGAAAGCGUGGGGAGCAAACAGGAUUAGAUACCCUGGUAGUCCACGCCGUAAACGAUGUCUACUUGGAGGUUGUGGCCUUGAGCCGUGGCUUUCGGAGCUAACGCGUUAAGUAGACCGCCUGGGGAGUACGGUCGCAAGAUUAAAACUCAAAUGAAUUGACGGGGGCCCGCACAAGCGGUGGAGCAUGUGGUUUAAUUCGAUGCAACGCGAAGAACCUUACCUACUCUUGACAUCCAGAGAACUUUCCAGAGAUGGAUUGGUGCCUUCGGGAACUCUGAGACAGGUGCUGCAUGGCUGUCGUCAGCUCGUGUUGUGAAAUGUUGGGUUAAGUCCCGCAACGAGCGCAACCCUUAUCCUUGUUUGCCAGCGAGUAAUGUCGGGAACUCCAGGGAGACUGCCGGUGAUAAACCGGAGGAAGGUGGGGACGACGUCAAGUCAUCAUGGCCCUUACGAGUAGGGCUACACACGUGCUACAAUGGCGCAUACAGAGGGCAGCAAGCUAGCGAUAGUGAGCGAAUCCCAAAAAGUGCGUCGUAGUCCGGAUUGGAGUCUGCAACUCGACUCCAUGAAGUCGGAAUCGCUAGUAAUCGUGGAUCAGAAUGCCACGGUGAAUACGUUCCCGGGCCUUGUACACACCGCCCGUCACACCAUGGGAGUGGGCUGCAAAAGAAGUAGGUAGUUUAACCUUCGGGAGGACGCUUACCACUUUGUGGUUCAUGACUGGGGUGAAGUCGUAACAAGGUAGCGCUAGGGGAACCUGGCGCUG